RNAcentral lists this long non-coding RNA (1612 nucleotides) under Nicotiana benthamiana. Its description in RNAcentral is "long non-coding RNA (NBEN_LNC025724)". The record is from RNAcentral. Lineage: Eukaryota; Viridiplantae; Streptophyta; Magnoliopsida; Solanales; Solanaceae.
UUUACUAGUUAUGCUAAGGCUCCCAAAAUAUUUGAAGCUAGAACAUAUUCCAUAUAGUUUAAAAAUAAGUUGUAUUAAUUAUAUCCUGAAAUAAUCUCAUGUUUGGAGGUCAUGACACGAGAGUCAAGAUAGUGGUGACAAUUACCGCCCCAAGGGGAAUUAAAUCCUCUUUUCCUUUCUACCAAAAAAAAAAAAUCCUCUUUUCCUGGUCUUGAUUUAGUCUAUGAACUAAGUCGUGAUAACAAUGCAUUGUAUACACCUUACAAAUAUAACAAGUAAGGUUCCUUAUUAAUUCGAGAAGGGCAUGAAUGAAUAACUGCAAUUAUUGGUCCAAACAAUAUAUAAUUAGAAAGGUUCUUCAUAUCAUUAUCUAAACAAAUGUUCUCCACAUACUUUGAUUCACUAUUGAGUCACGUUUUUGAGCUCAGCGAAGUAUAAACUUUUUUCAGUUGCUGACCAAUCUUGAAUUCUUAUUCUUUGUAAAGAUUAUGUGUGUGACUUACAUUAGUGGAACAAGAAUUUAGUAAAUGGGAAUGUUAUAGAUGACUUUGGAAAAAGAGUUGAAAAUGCAAUAUCUCGAAUCCUUUGUUCUUCUACCCUUUUGAAGAUCUGGUCAUGUUCUUUUCUCAGACCCAUAAUCUCGACGGGAAUUUGUACAGGCCGCAACUUUUGACUGAAAUGACACGUUCUUACCAAUUUCAGAAAUAUAUUCUUGCUACAAUUCCUUGUAAGGGAAUUAUUAGUAUCACACCAAUACAAGGAUGUGUUUGAUCUUUUCAGGAAUUUGCACAGCAGCAAUUGCCCUUUUCACUGAUUUACAAAUACUCCUGAACCUUGUGUCAAUCGGUACACUGUUUGUGUUUUACAUGGUAGCAAAUGCUGUUAUCUACAAGCGUUACGUGUCAGUUGGAGUAACAAACCCAUGGCCUACACUGUCUUUCCUUUUUUGCUUCUCUUUGACUUCAAUCUUAUUCACCCUCUCAGUUGGAGUAACAAGCCCAUGGCCUACACUGUCUUUCCUUUUUUGCUUCUCUUUGACUUCAAUCUUAUUCACCCUUUUAUGGCAAUUUGCACCACCAGGCAAGCCAAAAGCCUUCAUGCUUGGUGCUUGCACAGCAAUCGCCAUCGCUGUAGUACAAAUAUUCCACUAUACGGUACCACAGGCACGAAAACCUGAGUUUUGGGGUGUCCCAUUAAUGCCAUGGAUUCCUUCCAUAUCUAUCUUCCUCAACAUAUUUUUGUUGGGUUCACUUGAUAGACCAUCCUAUGUUCGAUUUGGAUUCUUCUCAGGACUUGCUGUACUAGUGUAUGUUUUCUACAGUGUUCAUGCUAGUUUUGAUGCCGAGGAAGAUGGGUCUCUUAGUCAAAAGAGCAUUGAACUUGUGAAGGAAUCUAUUGAAAGCCAGGACCAUACUCUCAAAGUGUAAAAAUGUUCUCUUUUUGGCUGACUUUUUCUUUAGUUAUGACUUUUAAUUUUUAACUUUUUGGGAAGGGCUUACUGUUAUGGAUACUUAACAAUGGAAAUGGGAGAGGAAGUACAGGCUGCAAGAUUUUGCAGUGAGCAAGUUGUAUAGUUUGUUUAUUAGUGGGUUCAAGUUGUGACUUGUGAUCC